Molecule: long non-coding RNA, 29160 nt
Filed under: Homo sapiens (human)
Lineage: Eukaryota; Metazoa; Chordata; Mammalia; Primates; Hominidae
Description: non-protein coding lnc-NPTX1-2:6
Source: RNAcentral
GAGAUCCCUCCGCUUCCGCGCCGGAAACUGGGCUUUGCUUUGGAGUCUCGGGCGGUGGCAGCUCCGAUUCCACAGCCUGAAGACUAUGAGCUCGGAGGGUCCGCGAAGGGCCGCCCGGCCUCGGCCCCCGCCUCCUGCGCGUCGCCUGACAGCAUUACCGUUUCCACAGUGACAGCGUUUCCUCCGGCGGCCCUCCCGCCGCCUCCAGGGCCAUGGCUUCGUCCCGGGCACCCCUUCCGCACGUCACUUCCGGAAGCGACUCGCUCUGACGCCGUCCGCCCUCGUUGCCAUGGAGACGCUUGCGCUUUCCCGGGCCGCACUUCCCACCCGGGUCUUCAGAAGCCCGUGGCCGCUGGGUGAGCCCCUGCGUGAACGCACACGCACGCACACGGCUUCAGGUUGCCCCGCGGCGCCGCGCGCGAUAUCGGCUCGGAUCCCGGGAGGCCGUCCGCCCCUUUUUCAGCGGAUAGCUGAGGCCAGGUAAGUGACCGCGCGAGGACCCGGGAACUCCGUGACGCCCGUCCCGCCUCUGCUGUCCCCGCCGCAAGCGCUGCGCUCUGCACGGCGAGAGGGGCCUCUUGCCCUGUUGAGAGCCGGCGGGCACGGCACUUCUGCGCUUGGAAAAGGGUGGUCCAGCACUGCAGGUCCCACUCCUUGGCCCGGUCAGCGUCCGCCUUUGCUGAACCCCGAAAGGAUUCACCAGGUCCAGGACAGCCCGGCAGUUGCCUCAGGAGCACUUACUGAGCGCCUGUCGUUGACGCCCCCACCUCGAUGGCAGCUCAGGGGUGCCCUCAAGCUUUUGAGGGCAGGUGUCGUGUAUUUAAAUUCUUCACAGUUUAGCGGGCUGGACUCACGGGGGUGCUGCAGACUUGGACGGGGUUUCAUCUGGGUCGGACCUUGCUGGGCAGAAAGCUUCUCCUACCAGACAAAGUACGGCGACCUUGGGGGGUCUUGGUUCUUACCUCGUGUUCCUCAUUGAAUGAGUGUUGGUUCAGUGCUCUCGCUGUGCCAGGUGUUGUGCGAAGUACUGUGAGGGAGAAUAUGUAUUUAUUUGUGGGGAGCCGACUUUAAACCGGUGGUUGGGAAAGGCCUGAGAGGCGAUAUUGAAGACACCUGAAGGGUGAGUGAAAGAGCACGGCGGGUGAGUGGAGCAGCUUUCUCGUGCAGGUCCCGGGGUGGGAAAGAGGUUGGUGUAUUUGAAGCACUGAAAGGCAGCCACUGAAGCUGAAGUGUAGCAGUUUAACCCAUGGUUUUAUAUUCUCCUGGGAGGAUUCAGAAGGGUGUAUGUGUGUAUGUAUAUAUAAUAGCCUGAAUAUAAACGUCAAGGGUGUUAGGUUUUGAAGGGAAGGUGAAGGUUAAAGAAUGACGCACAGUGAGAUUGCCGGCGCGCGGGCGGCUCUACAGCAACACAGGUGUAUUGCAAACACCUGUCGGGGGCCAGCUUAAUGCCAGAGCCCACCAGCGAUUACAGGCUGGGGUACUCAUAGGCCUGGGCAGGAGGGAUCUAGGCAGUAUGGCUUGCUGUCCGGGAAGAUGUUAACGUGUUCCCAGGAUGAGGUGGUUCCGGCAGAAUGUGGUGUUCCUGGCGCUUUGUCCCAGCAGAAUAUGUUAAGAGGCAGGCUGUUUCUCAUGGCUCGAACCCCCGUGGAAUGUUUCACUUUGACCAAGGUCUACAAAAUGGAAAGGGGCUUACAAAAUGACGCAGUUUGGACUAACAAAGGGGAAAAUACAGAGGAUGAAAUUAGACUCUAGAGGUUGAGGCUCAGGAAAGGCUUCAUACAGCUUUGGGAACUGACAAGGCUUUGAAAGCAGGGUCAGUUUUCAGCGAAUGAGCGUCACCCACUGCACCCUGCGCACCCUGCUCCCCUGCUGCGGUGUCUUUCCCACCAGAGUGUAGCAGGACAAGCCGCAGACAAAACCCCUCAGACACCGAGUUAAAGAAGGGCUUUAUUCAGCUGGGAGCUUCGGCAAGACUCACGUCUCCAACAACCGAGCUCCCCGAGUGAGCAAUUCCUGUCCCUUUUAAGGGCUCACAACUCUUCAGGGGUCUGCGUGAGAGGGUCGUGAUUGAUUGAGCAAGCAGGGGGUACGUGACUGGGGGCUGCAUGCACCCGUAAUUAGAACGGAACAGAACAGGACAGGGAUUUUCACGGUGCUUUUCUAUAUAACGUCUGUAAUCUAUAGAUAGCAUCACUGAUUAGGUCAGGCGUCGAUCUUUAACUACCAGGCCCAGGGUGUGGUGCAGGCUGUCUGCUUGUGGAUUUCAUUUCUGCCUUUUAGUUUUUACUUCUCUCUUUGGAGGCAGAAAUUGGGCGUAAAACAAUAUGAGGGGUGGUCUCCCUUAUUCUCCCUCUCUGAGAAUCUCACUCAGUAGUGGGAGUUGUCACUUUUAUUUUUACUACCUAUGUUUUCUUGCAAGACAGAUCGAUAGUGAUUCAUAUAGUACAGUUGUGCUGAAGCAUUUUGGUGAACUAAGGUAGCGAUGAAGCUUUUUAUCAUUUGAAGAAGUAUGGGUAGCAAACAAGGGAGCAGAACGCAGGUUUCUAUUGCUAUUGUAACUCCUAAUAUAAGAGUUUUAAAUCUUUUUAGUGCUGGGAACCAUUUUCCAAACAUGGCCCCAGGACCAAAUCCAUGCCACACUUGCACGGGCACAUGUGCCAGUUUUGUCAUAUUUCUAACUGUGUCUUCAACUAAUUGCCCUCGAUCAUCUAUGUGUAGACAGCAAUUAGUAAGGUUAAAUUUUUUACAGACCUCUCCUUCAGCUGCUAGCAAGUAGUCGAGAGCCAAUCUAUUUUGAUAGAUAGCAUUUCUCAUCUGAGUUUCUUGCCAGGCCAGAAUAGUCAAGGCUCUGCCGGUCUUAUUAGUGAUUAUUUCUAAGACAGCUUGUAACCGUAUGAUUCGGUUGAGCAUGUAAAUGGGGGUCGGGUAUCCCUAGGAGCCAUCUUGUGCCUAAGUACCAGGCCCAUAAUAUUGUAUGAUUCUUUCAGGGGGCCAUGUAUUAUCUUUUGAAUUUUUUAUAGCUAUGCUUCUCUUUUUGCGGGAAGCACAGACAGGGAAGCCCAGGAGUUCGCCUGUCUUUAUGGGCAGUAGGAAGAAAGAUGGUUUAAUAGUGCCAAUAACAUGACUACCUGCCCACUGGUCGGGUAAUUUGGUGUAAACUCUAUGCCUACAUAUCCAGUAUAAUCCAGUGGGGGCUGUCCAGUCCCUGUGGGACUCCGGGUGGGUUCACACAGUUUGCAACUUUGGGAAUUUACUAAAUGGAUUUUUCUUAGUGUGGUUUGAACUCCACUAGGUGGCUGUUUUUGUAGUAGUAUUAUACAGUUUUUGCCUAAGCAGCUGAGUCUUCCCACAGGAAAGGUGAAGUCCUUCCCCACUCUUGCUAUAUACAGUAUUGUCUAAUGAUUGAGGCUUUUAGGACCCAGAAGUUAUCAGGGUGAUUCUUUUGAGCCGGGAAUUCAUCAGGAACUGGGUCUGUAGGUACUAAUUCUCGGGCUUCCCGUGGCCAUUGAUCUCCCAUUACAGUUCGUCCACACACAUAACAUGAAGUGACAUUGAGAGACUGGGCCACAUGCUCGGCUAAUUGCAAAAACAAAUGUCUUGUUUUUCCUGGAAUUUCUGGUGCAGGCACAUUCAGUUGAUCAUAGAAGGUUUGAAAUACUGUCUCAGGAGAGCGUUUAUAAAUUUCUCCUCAAACCAUGAUAUUUACUCAAGGAUCCAGUUCAGCCCCAUUGAUUCCUAGGGUUACAUGCUCCCCUUUUUUCCAGCGAGGAUCAAGGGGGUUGGUUAUUACUAGUUCUAAGGGGUUACACUGACCACUGGUACAGGAAGGGCCACUUUUUCCUUUUUGAAGGUGGACAGGAUCCUUUUUAUUUUUUAUUUAAGUAGCCUAAAUGACACAAGACCAGUAUUUACAUUUAUUUCCACACAGUUUUAAUUUAUGACAAAUGUACUUAUUUUUUGUCAUAUGGCCUCUUUUCUAAUUAAGGGAACCACAUUCUAUUUUUAACUUAUUACUAUUAAUGACAGCACAGGCAUCAAACUUUAAAGUGACUUGUUUGGGCACCCCUUUUUCUUUCAUUUUGGCUAACACUUUACUCGUAUCGUUUAUGAGUCCCUACCAGUCCUCAGUCCUUAAUCUUAUUUCAAAAGCUGUGGUCAUGGGAGACUCAGGUCAUAACACACAUCAGGUUGGUCAUUUCUUGGGCUACAUACCUUGCAUAGAAUAGCAUUAUACAAACUUUUUUUUUUUUUAGAGUCCUGGUACACUUACAAUAAUCAUAAAAUAAUAGGACUGUGGCAACUUUUUGUCCUACCUCAGUGACUUGAUGUAUACACUGGGAACAGUCCUCAGUCUGAGGAAGGUCAGUUGAAGUCCUUACUGUACAAGUCCAAAUUUUAAGGAAAAUGAGUCCCACGAUGAGUUUUCUCAUGCUUCGGCCGUGUGUGGACCAGUCAGCUUCCAGUUGUGACUGGAGCAGGGCUUGUCGUCUUCCUCAGAGUCACUUUGCAGGGGCUGGCGAAGCUGCUUCCGUCCACGUACCACUCACAGCCUACUGAUGUUCAAGGAUGGUCUCGGAGGUUGCGCCUGCUAGAAUAAACUGAGUCCAACACCUCUACACAGUUAUGUUCAACUGGGCUCUCUCAUAUCAGGAGCAAGGUGGCGGGGUUUAGCGUGUUGCAAACUGCAGUGGUUAUGUGGGGAUUUUCACGUAGCAAGCUUUGGUACUUGGUUAAUCUAGCAUUUGUUAACCAGUGAUGACCUUUGGUAGUCAUUAAAGUUACCACAGCGUGGGGGGCCUUUAUAUUCAGGUUUUGUCCAAGGGUUAGUUUAUCUGCUUCUUGUGCUAACAGGGCCGUUGCUGCCAGGGCCCUUAGACACGGGGGCCAGGCUUUGGAAACCCCGUCUAGUUGUUUUGAGAGAUAGGCCACUGGCCUUAGCCAGGGUCCCACAGUCUGGGUUAAAACUCCAACUGCAUUUUUUCUCUUUCUGACACAUAGGGUGUAAAGGGUUUUGUCAGGUCUGAUAGCCCCAGGGCUGGGGCCUACGUUUUUCUUUUAACUCAUGAAAAGCUUGUUGCUGUUUGUUGUAAUAGAUGUAGUUUAUCCAAUUUACAUUUUUAUUAACUGUCAUCUACCAAAAUAUUGACUCAAAUCCUGCCGCUAUUUGAUUUCAAGUUUUAAAUUGAUCUAGUAUUCCCCGUGGGACUCCAAUUGCGUCUAAAUGGAAAUGAGAGUCGAAAGACCCAUAAGGGGCUUCUCUUGCUUUACGAUGUCUUAUUUUUCCUCCCUCUGGUUGAUGGAAUGCCAGGGUGAAAGGGAUAGCCAAUCGGACUAAAGUACAAGCGCCACUCCAGUUAUUCGGCAGAGUGCCCAGUAAAGGUCCACCACAAUACCACCACACAUCCGCUCACAUCCACUCAGGGAUGAACAAGGGCUGGCUGAUUGAUAGGCUCUUGAAAAUUUUUAAGCUCACUGCAUCCCUUCAGGUUUCCAAGGAAUGCUAAGUUUCCUCCCUGUCAUGAGAGACACGAAGUGAACUUAGUAUUGGGAGACGGCGGCUCGAUGGCCCUCGGGGGCUGACCCGCAAGGCGCCAGACUUUCGGAUACAGCAGAGAGAGCUUGGCACAACUUAUUACUCCAGGCUGUAGAAUCCUGGAGAAGAGCUACCAUGCAGCCACACCUGGUCGACUGGAGGACCACCUUAGUGGAAAGGGGACAAUCAGGACCUCUGGCCUGCCAUGUGCACAAGCGUAACAGUUGCUUUUGUUUAACGUGCGGAUGGAAUAUUUGAUCCAUUUCAACCAGGCAUUUGCAUCUUGGUAUGCUGUCUUAAUUGCCAAAGUUUGUUUUAAGUCUUUAACUAAUAUGAACUUCUAGUAAAAUGAAUGUAUGAUUUUGGGAAAUUACAAAAACUGGUUGGGGCAGUCCAUUCUUGCUCUUUAGUGGUCCACAGAAUGUUGGACCAACUACGGCAUAAAAGCUCUACAUUGGGGAGCAAGACUCCUGGUUGACACUGGAGUCUUUAUUGAAAUUCCCCCGGAUUAAAUGGUCCUAAUUUACUAAUGCCCAGUCUGAGGAGAGUCAGGAGGGACAGAAGUACUUUUCUGAAGUAGAGAGCUGUCUUCGACUUGGCAAGUCCCCACAGGGUAUAACAAGACAAGCAUUAAAUGCAAUAGUUUGAGGUGAAAUUGAUUUGGUUGUGUUAAUAACCAGAUGGUCAGCAAUAGAGCGAGGAAAGAAGAAAGAGUAAUAGAAUAGAUAAAAGAGUUAAAUAUUUCUUAGCUUUAGUUUGGUAGGGUUUUCCCCUUGGACUGGGGCCCACGACUCCGGAGGGGGUGGAGCUUUGACUCGGGUGUGAUGAGUCCAUCCCUUUUCCACUGUAGGGACAGCAGUCUCGGUGGUUAGCAGCACAAGGUCGGGUCCUUCCUAGGCUGGCUUGUUUUCUUUCCUCCCUUUGUUUUCUUUCUUUCCUUUGAUAAGAAAAACUUUUCCUUUGAAAAAUUUGUUUUCUUUCCUCCCUUUGAUAAGAAGGUGAUCUUCAGGCUGGUGCUGGUUUACUGGAAAUUCUAGGGCUGGCACCUGUGCUAAAAGGCUUUUAGUUUUGAGGGAAAGGAAAGUGGAAGACAAACCAAGUAUAUAAUUUCUAAGAAAUUGAUUUUUUGUUUCAAAUGUGGGGACAUCAAGAGUGGACUUUAUAGGCUUUGGUGCCUUUUUACUGAGAAAUUUCCUUUACCACCUAUUUUUAUUAGUUUUUGGACCAAAGAAAGCCAAACACUGUUUUAUAUUUAAUAAUGCUUUCUGUAUGAUUUUUAUACCAGAUAAGCUAAAUUUCACCUUUAUAUUAGUGUGCUAUUAAUGUUAAACUUAGUUUUAAUAAAACUUUGUAUACAUAUUUAUUCAAUUUUUAAUGUCAGACCGUAAGGUAAGAUUUUUAUAGACUCUUUUUAACCUUUUAUAAUCUUUGUUAAAGAGCAAGUUAGUGCUUUAAGAAAAACCCAUUGUGUUUUUACUUUAAUGUCCAGUUCACAGAAAAACUGGAUGAUACCCCUUUAACUUUAGCUAAUACGUUUACACACAGAAUUUUUUUAUAAUUAAUGUUUUAAAACUUGCUUAAACCUUCAAAACAAUUUUUUUAACCUUUUAAUCUAGGUAAAAAUUUACAUUCUUAUGCCUUCUUAUAAUCCUUUUACCAAAGGUAUAUUUACUUUUCUUAUACACCUUGUGUUAGCGCCUCCGUGUGAAAAGCCCACCAAACAGGCUUUGUGUGAGCAACAAGGCUGUUUAUUUCACCUGGGUGCAGGCGGGCUGAUUCUGAAAAGAGUCAGCAAAGGGUGGUGGAUUAUCAUUAGUUCUUACAGGUUUGGGGUAGGCGGUUGGGUUAGGAGCAAUGUUUUGCCGGCAGGGGGUGGAUCUCACAAAGUACACUCUCAAGGGUGGGGAGAAUUACAAAGAACCUUCUUAAGGGUGGGAGAGAUUACAAAGUACAUUGAUCAGUUAGGAUGGGGCAGAAACAAAUCACAAUGGUGGAAUGUCAUCAGUUAAGGCUAUUUUCACUUCCUUUGUGGAUCUUCAGUUGCUUCAGGCCAUCUGGAUGUAUAUGCAGGUCACGGGAUAUGAUGGCUUAGCUUGGGCUCAGAGGGCUGACAUUCCUGUCUUCUUAUAUUAAUAAGAAAAGCAAAACAAAAUAGUGGUGAAGUGUUGGAGCAGUGACAAAUUUUGGGGGUGGUAUGGAGAGAUAAUGGGCGAUGUUUCUCAAGGCUGCUUCGAGCGGGAUCAGGGGCGGUGUGGGAACCUACAGUGGGAGAGAUUCAACUGAAGAAAGAUUUUGGGGUUGUUAGAAGGAGCAUUUGUCAUAUAGAAUUACUGAUGAUGGCCUGGAUGCGGUUUUAUAUGAAUUGAGAAACUAAACGAAAGACACAAGGUCCGAAUAAAAGAAGGAGAAAAAUAGGUAUUAAAGGACUAAGAAUUGGGAGUACCCAGGACGUCCAAUUAGAGAGUGUCCAAGGGGGUUCAAUGUUAUUGUUUGCUUGGUUGGCGAGCUUUUGGGCUCUAUCCUUGAGUUUUUUUAUGUUGUCAUAUAGCAGGCCAGAUUGAUUUAGGUAAAAACAACACUCUUCAUUUAAAAAUAUACAGAGUCCUCCUUUUUCAGCAGUGAGUAAAUCGCGGCCUUGGCCGUUCUGGAGGACAACUGCAGCUAAAGAGUUAACCUGGGCUUGGAGAACAGAUAAAGUUUGUGAUCUAUCUGUAGUGCUAGCAGAGAAGUCAUUAGAGAGGCUGCGGACUGUUGUGACAGAGGUUGAGAUGCCUGCUAUUCCAGUUCCAAGUGCAAUACUGGAGGCAGAAAGUCCUAGACCAAUAAGUAAAGGGAUUAGUGGGAUGACUCUUUUUUGUUGUGUUGAUGUCAUGAGGGGGACAGGCAGUUGUUCGUUCCCAUCUGCAAACUGGAUUUUGGAGGUAAGGAAGACUAGAGUACAUGUGCCCAUCCAUUUGGCAGGUAGGCACAUGUAGGUGGAAGAGCCACAUAAAAAGAAGAGACCUUGUGUCAGGCAGAACUGGAAAUGUAAAGUGAAAAGGUGAGAGGGUGUACUGAAAGAGGAAUCCUGCAUCCAGAAUCCUAGCGAUCCAGCAAGGGCAGCAGCCGUUAGAGGUUGUAAUGGGGAUUGAUGGUGCAACUGCGUAGAGGGAGGGGUUUGGUUUUCAUGGUGUAUGAGAAAGCGCAUAGUGUCUACAAGUAACCUUUCGCUGCUAUUCAUGGGGCAGGGUAUAAGCAAGCAAGAGGAGGGGCUAGGAGGAGAUUCAGACGAGCAGGGGAGGGUGGUAGCCAAGGAUGGGGUGAGAUGCAGGGUAGGUGUCUUCCUAAACAAUAGUGACUGCCAAUGUUUUUUAGUUUGUCAAUAAUGAUAGAGGGCUUGUCAGUAAUGCGAAGUUGGAAUGCUCCCAUCUGUUUGGUAAUGUGUGUGGCUGGGUUCUGGAGACAAAGAGUAAAGGAACAUUUGGACGGUGGAAGGUUGCCUAAAGGGAUUCCAGCAGGCUGUUGUCGGGAGAUGCAUAAAGAAACGGCAACAGGGAUAGUUGUUUGUGUGGUUGGGGUCCAAAUAUGGGAGGAGUGGAAUUGACAUAAGGAGAAAGAUGCCGUAAGUAGAUGCGGAGAAGUGUGGCAGCUCGUUGGUGUGAAAUGUCUGGGGAGUUCUCACCAAAUCUGUCUAGAAAAUAAAGAAGUUCCUCAGGCGGGUAAAGAUGAGGGUUAUUAAAGGAGGUUCUGAGUUGCAGGGAGACGGGAGAGGUAGCCCAGUCAGCCUGUAGAGCAGGGAUGGCUGUGUAAAAGCAGGAGGAAAGGGAAACGCGUAGCCAACAAUUCUUUGCUAGAAAAGGAUUGGAGGCAGUGAGGAGAGAGUGGGUGAGAUUGAUAGUAUGCUGGAGGUAACUGGGGAGAGGUAGAGAGUGGCAUAAGAAUGGGAAUGAGAAUAAGAGUGAAUAUAAAAGUAAAGAAUAGAACUUCAUCAGGGUGGAAGUGUUGGAGGGUGCCCUGCCACCAAAGAUCAUCUAUCCACUCCAAGCAGGAGUCAAGAGUGGCGGUUUGGGGAUAUCACCAGGAGAUAUCAGCUGUGAUGUCUUGGAGAAACAAUGUAAACUGGCAGUGUAAACAAGAGCAGGUCAUUUAUGAGUAGUUGAGAAUGGUGAAUAGGAGUAUGACUAGACAGAAGAUAGUAGGGAUGACAGGUUUUUGGGGCACAGUCCAAGUAGUGGGGGUGACUGCGUAAAGCCCUGUUGCGAAGAGUAGGGUAAGGAUGGAUAGACCUAAUAGAAUGAAGGGAUGUAUUAGGCUCAUAAGGGUUAUUGUUCUUCAGAAAUGCGAGUGAGUUUAAGGGAAGUAGGGGAGAGUACUUGCGACUUCCAGGAGGAAGAGGAGAUAUCGGACUGGCUGUCUGACGGACACAGCUUUAUUCUGGAACGGUGAACCCAGUGGGGAGGGUUCUGCAGGCAGAUGGUGGUUGGGGGUACUAUAGAUGUUUAAGUAGGGUCCGGUCCAUCGAGGUUGUAGAGUUUGAGGGGUCAGAUUAUUAACAAGAACUGACCAUCCAGCUAGGGUGUCUUCAUGUGGCUGGGAAUCUGGAGUAGGCAAGAGAAGAUUAGCAGCCUGGCGAAUUUCCUGUCUAGCCUGCUGAAAGACUGGAAGAUAGUUGCCUAGAGGGCUGGUGUCUGGGAUGAGGUUGGGGCUGAGCAAGAAAGUGCGUCCACAUAAAAGUUUAAAUGGACUGUACCGUGUAGCUUCUUGAGGACAGGCUCUAAUUCUGAGAAGGGCAAGAGGUAGAAGUACUGUCCAGUCCUUUUUAAGCUGGAGGCUGAGCUUGGUGAGGUGUGUCUGUAAAAGACCAUUAGUCCCUUCUACCUUUCCUGAAGAUUGAGAUGGUAAGGGAUAUGAAGGUUCCACUGAAUACCAAGAGCCUGAGAAACUGCUUGGGUGAUUUGACUAAUAAAGGCCGGUCCGUUAUCAGACUGUAUAGAGGUGGGAAGGCCAAACCGAGGAAUUAUGUCUGACAGAAGAGAAGAAAUGACUGCGGUGGCCUUCCCAGACCCUGUGGGAAAGGCCUCUACGCAUCCAGUGAAAGCAUCUAUCCAGACCAAGAGGUAUUUUAGUUUCCUGACUCGGGGCCUGUGAGUAAAGUCAAUUUGCCGGUCCUGGGCAGGGGCAAAUCCCCGCGCUUGAUGUGUAGGGAGGGAGGGGGCCUGAACAAUCCUUGAGGAGUAGUAGAAUAGCAGAUGGAACACUGAGAAGUGAUUUCCUUGAGGAUAGAUUUCCACGAUGGAAAGGAAAUGAGAGGUUCUAAGAGACAGGCUAGCGGCUUGUAACCUACAUGGAAGAGGUUGUGAAAUGAUGAUAGAAUAGAAUGGGCCUGUGAGGCUGGAAGGAGAUAUUUUCCUUUGUCUAAGAACCAUUUACAUUGUGUGGGAAGAGAUUGAUAGGUGGAAGUUUCAGUGGGAGAGUAGGUAGGAGUGACCGAUGAGAAGGAGAAAAACUGGCCGUGAGGGACAGAAGUUGGAAAACUAAGCUGCUUCUUUAGCUAACUUAUCAGCAUAAGUGUUGCCCUGAAUGAUGGGAUCUGAUGCCUUUUGAUGGCUCUUGCAGUAAAUGACUCCAGAUUCCUUUGGAAGUAAAGCGACCUUGAGAAGAAUUUUUAUUAAAGAGGCAUUAAUGAUGGAGGACCCUUACAUAGUGAGGAAACCUCUCUCUGCCCAUAUAACAGCAUGGUGGUGCAUGCUGACUCUAUGGAAGGCAUAGAGUCAGUAUAAAUAUUGACACGUACUCCUUCUGCAAGAGUGAGGGCUUGAGUUAAGGCAAUGAGUUUGGCUUGCUGAGAGGUAGUGGAGGGGGGCAGAGUGGUAGCCUCAAUGAUAGGUGUGGAAGUUACUAUAGCAUAGCCUGCCUUUGCUGGUGAGUGGCGAUUAGGCCUGGUGGAACUGCCAUCAAUAAACCAAGUGUGAUCAGGGUGAGGAACAGGAAAGAAGGAAAUAUGGGGAAAUUGAGUAAAUGCUAGGUGGAUUAGAGAGAUACAGUCAUGGGGGGUCAGGUGUGGUAUCAGGAAUAAUGUGGGGGCUAGCCUAAAACAGUAAGGUCAAGUUGUUUGGACAGAAGGGCUGCAGGGGCCGUUCCUGGCUCUUGUGUAAGAAUUCUGACUGCACAACCCUGCACUUUGGCUGUAUGUAAUGAAAAAGUGUUGGGAUGAGUUAGGGAGAGCUAGUGUGGGAGCAGCUUCUAGGGCUGUUUUCAGGGAACGGAAAGAGGAGUGGCGAAAGGAUUUAGGAUCUGUGGGGUCAGCUGGGUUUGCUUUUGUGAGUUUAUAUGAUGGUUUAGUCAGGAUGGUAAAGCUAGGUAUCCAAAGGCGGAGUAUCUAACCAUGCCUAGGAAGGAAAGGAGCUGUUGCUUUGUAGAAGGGGUCGGGGUUUGGGAGAUUAGCUAGACACGAUCAGCAGGGAGAGCACUGUGUUUUCAUGAAGAAUUAAGUCGAGAUAGGUAAAGGAUGAGGAAGAAAUUUGGGCUUGACUGAAGUAACGGGGGGGGGGGGGGCUGUCCGUGAAGCCUUGUGGCAGUACAGCCCAGGUAAUUUGCUGAGCCUGAUGGGUGUCCGGGUCAGUCCAAGUGAAAAUGAAGAGAGGCUGGGAUGAAGGGUGCAAAGGAAUAGUAAAGAAAGCAUGUUUGAGAUCCAGAACAGAAUGGGUUAUGUAGAUUAUGUACAUAUGUAGAUAUGUACAUAUCUACAUAAUAAUAUAUGUAGAGGGGUUCUGGAGGGAGGUAUUGAGGAUAGAAGAGUAUAUGGCUUUGGCGCCACAGGGUGGAUAGGCAAGACAAUUUGGUUGAUAAGGUGCAGAUUCUGAAAUUAACCUGUAAGGCUUGUCCAGUUUUUGGAACAGGUAAAAUGGGGGAAUUAUAAGGAGUGUUUAUGGGUUUUAAAAGGCCAUGCUAUAACAGGCGAGUGAUAACAGGCUUUAAUCCUUUUAAAGUGUGCUGUGGGAUGGGAUAUUGGCAUUGAGUGGGGUAAGAGUGAUUAGGUUUUAAUGGGAUGGUAAGGGGUGCAUGAUUGGUUGCCAAGGUGGGAGUAGAGGUGUCCUAUACUUGUGGAUUAAGGUGGGGAGAUCCAAGGGGAGGGUGUGAAGGCGGCUUUGAACUGGAGAAAAGGGUGGCAAUGAGGUGUGGUUGUAGGCUAGGAAUAGUCAGGGAAGCAGAUAAUUUAGUUAAAAUGUCUCAAUCUAGUAAGGGAUCUGGGCAGGUGGGGAUAACUAAAAAGGGGUGCAUAAAAGAAUGUUGUCCAAGUUGGCACCAGAGUUGGGGAAUUUAAGAGGUUUAGAAGCCUGGCCGCCAAUACCCACAACAGUUACGGAGGCAAGGGAAACAGGCCCUUGAAAAAAAGGUUAAUGUGGAGUGGGUAGCCUCUGUAUUGAUUAAGAAAGGGACAGACUUAUCCUCCACUGUAAGAGUUACCCAAAGUGUCUGUGAUGGUCCAGGGGCUCCCGAGGCGAUGGGCAGCGUCAGUCUUCAGCCACUAAGCCGAGGAGAUCUGGGAAGGAGUUGGCCAAGGAACGUUGGGUUUGGGCUCCAGGUGCUUUAGGAGCAGCGGCGAUGUGAGUCGGACAGUCCGACCUCCAGUGGGGGCGCGCACAGACAGGGCACAGCUUAGGAGGAAUCCCAGGCUGCGGGCAUUCCUUGGCCCAGUGGCCAGGCUUUUGGCAUUUGAAGCAAGGCCCACGAGGAUGUUUUGAAGGAGCCCCUGGGAGCUGUGGCUUGGAUGUUCUGAAGUUCUUGUAUGCUGGAGACGUGGUUGUGGGCUGUCUUACAGCAGAGGCGAGUAGCUGUAACUCAGAAAUGCGUUGCUGUCUGGCUACCUCCUAUUAUUGUACACCUUGAAGGUGAGGUUGAUUAAUUCCUGUUGUGGGGUAUGAGGGCUGGAUUCCAGUUUUUGAAUCUUUUUUCUAACAUCAGGAGCUGACUGGGUGAUAAAAUGCAUAUUAAGAAUAAGGCGGCCUCCUGGCCCCUCUGGGUCUAGGGCGGUAAAGCGUCUAAGGGUUACUGCCAAGUGGGCCAUGAACUGGGCUGGGUUUUCAUCUUCACCUCGGGUAGUUUCUUGUUUGUCAUAAUUAACAGCUUUGUAAGCUGCCUUUUUAAGCCCUUCAACUAGGCAGGAAACCAUGUAAUCUCGCGUAGCUAUACCUGGGGAAUCUGCCUGGUAGUUCCACUGGGGAUCUUCUCGGGGAACUGCUCUGAUGCCCUCCUGGAGGUCUGGCUCGUGAAGCCGGUGGUUGUCAGUGUGAGAUUGGGCUAGAGAAAAAACUCUUUCCCAUUUAUCUGGGGAGAGGGUAGAAGUUAGGAUGACAUUUCAGUCACUCCAGGUUAAACUGUAGGACAGAGUUAGAUAUCGGAAUUCCUGUAUGUAUUUAGUGGGGUCUGAUGAGAAAGAGCCUAAACGCUGGCUGAUUUGGGAAAGGUCUGAUAGAGAAAAAGGCACAUGUACCCUGACAUAUGCCUUCAGCUCCAGCCACCUCUCUAUGAGGAAAUUGUUGGGCAGAUGGGGGAGAGCUGGUCGCAGAAAGAAACUGUAAACCGGACCGGGUGUGGGAGGGAGGUAAUAGAAGGGUUAUAGGGUGGGGAGCAGAGGCUGAAGAAGAGCUGGAGCCUGAUCAGCCUGGCGGGGAGCGAGCUGAGGAGGAGCAGCCUGGGGAGGAGGUGAGGGGUCAGAUGGGUCAGCAGAAAAGGAAGAUUCACAAGACUCAGCAACGCUCGAGGUUGGGACUGAAGGGACAGGCGGGAGGGAAAGGAGGAGGAUUUGGGAUGAGUCACAGUGGGAACAGAGACUAGGGAGGGAACGAAGUCUGAAAAAUGCCUGGACGUAAGGCACCUCAGACUAUUUGCCCAUUUUUCGACAAAAAUUAUCUAGGUCUUGCAGGAUGGAGAAAUCAAAAGUGCCAUUUUCUGGCCAUUUAGAACCAUUGUCGAGUUCGUACUGGGGCCAAGCGGUGUUGCAGAAGAAAAUAAGAUGCUUAGAUUUUAGGUCAAGUGAGAGUUGAAGAGGUUUUAAGUUCUUGAGAACACAGGCUAAGGGAGAAGAAGGAGGAAUGGAGGGUGAAAGGUUGCCCACAGUGAAGGAGGCCAGUUUAAAGAGAAGGGUAGAGACACGGAGAAGGGGGGUAGGGAGCAGCCGUGGGCUGCAAUGUGGGUGAGCAGCCAAAGCAGGUUGUCCCCGCAAUUGACUUGCCACCAAGGGAAUGUGGGUGAAUGACCAAGGCAGGCAUCCCCACAGUGAUUAGACACCAGUGGAGUGUGGGUGAAUAAUCAGGCAGGCGUCCCUGCAGUCAUUAAACACCAGGGGAAGACUGUCUUGCCGAGUCCGUGACUGGCGCCGGAGUUUUGGGUCCACGGAUAAAAUAUGUCUCCUUUGUCUCUACUAGAGAGGAAAAAGAACUGGAAUUGGAAGGACAGGGAGACUGAAGGGUAGCGAGAGAGGCUGGAGAAGAGAGUGAAAAGACCACUUACCCGAUUUGAAAUUCAUGAGAUGUUCCUUGGGCUGGUUGGUCUGAGAACCCGAGGUUGUACGUGGAUCUCCUCAUGGAGUGAGGAUGAGGACAGGGGACCGGUCUCUGUAAGGAGUACUCCCGUCCCGGAUCUUUGGUACCAAAUGUCACGCACGUCACACGCAUCCGUGUGAAGAGACCACCAAACAGGCUUUGUGUGAGCAACAAGGCUGUUUAUUUCACCUGGGUGCAGGCGGGCUGAGUCCAAAAAGAGAGUCAGCAAAGUGUGGUGGGAUUAUCAUUAGUUCUUGUAGGUUUGGGAUAGGCGGUGGAGUUAGGAGCAAUGUUUUGCAGGCAGGGGGUGGAUCUCACAAAGUACAUUCUCAAGGGUGGGAUUACAAAGAAUUACGAAGAACCUUCUUAAGGGUGGGAGAGAUUACAAAGUACAUUGAUCAGUUAGGAUGGGGCAGAAACAAAUCACAAUGGUGGAAUGUCAUCAGUUAAGGCUAUUUUCACUUCCUUUGUGGAUCUUCAGUUGCUUCAGGCCAUCUGGAUGUAUACGUGCAGGUCCCUGGGGAUAUGAUGGCUUAGCUUGGGCUCAGAGGCCUGACACUUGCACAUAAACUGUUUUUUUUUUCUUUCAAUAGUUUUACAUUUAGGAGGCCUAGUUACUUUUAAAUUAUACAACAUUUCUUGCAUAAUUUUUUAUAACAUUUUUCUCUUUCACGACUUUCGCAGACAAUUCUUCGACAUGCCUCAACUUUCUGACUUAUUACAAACAUUUCUUUCUUUAAACAACCAGUUAAUUUAUUUCAGGACAAGAAUUUACCAUAUAACACUCUUUUUAUGUAAAUUCUGCCCCUUCUUUUUUUUUUUCCUGAAGAUGAUAACCAUUCUUUUCCAAAGCGAACUUCUUUUAUGUCUGUGGACUAGACUGUCUGAGGCCACAAGAUCAGAAAUUACUAUAAUACAUGUUACACUGUUAACUUUUAGCAAACUUUACUUUUGUUGAAAACCUUGUAAGCUUGGGAUUUUAAUUAUCCUUUGCUAUUAGUAAGACCUCGUUUUGUCAAAAUUAACUUAGAAUUCGUAUAGAUGGCUUUUUUUUUUUCCUUUAAUUACCUGGGAGGAACCAUAGAUCAUCCUUUCCUGAAGGGAGUUCCUCCUAGGUAUGGUAGGGCCUUUGUACGGUAAUUAAGAUUUAGAUCCCCUGUUAGGAAACCUGCUGGGUUAAGGGAAUUUUCAGUAGUUAAAGUUAAAUCAUCCUUUUUUUUUUUUCCUUAGGCUACUUCUGAACUGGUGAGGUGUGCUCACAAUGAGGUUUCCUGUAAAAGUUAUUUUUUUACUUUUUUCUGUUAGCAAAGCAGUUGCAGCUACAGAUUGAAUGCAUUUGAGCCAUCCACGGGUUACUGGGUUAAGGAUUUUUGAUGGGAAGGCCUCAGUGCUUUCGGGAUAUGCCCUUGUUUACACUGACAACAAAGUGGUAUUGGAGUGUUACAGGGUUACAGAGAAUACUUUCAAUUAUCAAUUAUAGGUUUUAAAUUUAUCUUGGCUUUUAAAGGAAUAGGGUACAGUGUUGUUGUUGUUUCUAACUACUUGUAUAUAUAUCUCUUUUUUUCUUUUUUUCCUCUUGAUUUUCUGUCUCUUUCUCUUUGACUUUCCUUUUGCCUCUGUCUCUUUCUCUCUCUCUCUCUGACUCCCUCUUUGUCUGUCUCUUCCUCUUUCUCUCUCUGCUGGUCUUUCCUUGCCUCUGCCAGCCACUUAUGCUGCUGUUCUCUCAACCACUGUUGGGGCGGGCGGGUGGGGAGUCUAAAACCAGCUGUAACCAAGUGUCUGUGUACGGGAACUGGUGUGGGUACCCUGGCUUACAGGUUACCUUGUGCCAUACCUUUGAAACAAGGGACCUGUCCAGGCUUCACUCUGAUGGCCAACCUACCUCUAAUGCUGGCCAGUCUAUCUUACACAAAGUUUUAAGUUUUCCUGGUGUCAUAGUACUCCAUAGUCUCCCUUAAAUCCUUUCCUGAAAUUUUUCAGCAUAGUUCCUAGUGGGGUGGUCUUACUUUGUGCUUGACCCAUGCUUCUUCAAGACAAAACAUUACGCUCACCCUACACGCAUACCACAAAACAAAGAACAGGUAAAAAGGGCACACACACACUUUUACAGUUUACACCAAACCAAAAUCAAAACCAAAAUCAGAGUAUCAGGAUAUCCAAGUCAGGUCAAAACCAAAACCAAAGUAUCAAGCAAUCCAAGUCAAGUCAAAAACAAAAACCAGAGUGCCAGUACAGGCACGCCGUGGGUGAUCAGGCCACGCUUCCCCUCAAAUGGAGUGGGCAAGUUCCAAAGACCAGUCUUACCAAGUUUCAGAUGUCUGGACUCCAAGUGGCAGUUCCUUCCCGGUGUUCAGCCACUGCGUUGAUCCUCCUCGGGGGCCUGCUACACACUGCUCUGGCCAGGCAUUCCACUGGGGCAAUUGCCUGCCUGAGAGCGCUCUCAGGAUCCAUGUCGCUCAAGCUGGCUGGAGUCCUCCACAGGGAUGCUCCACAGGGCAGGCCUAAGCCGUCUGAGGGGCUGCCUCAACCAUCCAUUAAUCACCUAGAUUCCUGGUCAGGGAACCAAGAAAUGUAGCAGGACAAGCUGCAGAGAAAACCCCUCAGACACGAGUUAAAGAAGGGCUUUAUUCAGCCGGGCGCUUCGGCAAGACUCAUGUCUCCAACAACUGAGCUCCCCGAGUGAGCAAUUCCUGUCCCUUUUAAGGGCUCACAACUCUUAAGGGGUCUGCGUGAGAGGGUCGUGAUUGAUUGAGCAAGCAGGGGGUACGUGACUGGGGGCUGCAUGCACCCGUAAUUAGAACGGAACAGAACAGGACAGGGAUUUUCACGGUGCUUUUCUAUAUAAUGUCUGUAAUCUAUAGAUAGCAUCACUGAUUAGGUCAGGCGUCGAUCUUUAACUACCAGGCCCAGGGUGUGGUGCAGGCUGUCUGCUUGUGGAUUUCAUUUCUGCCUUUUAGUUUUUACUUCUCUCUUUGGAGGCAGAAAUUGGGCGUAAGACAAUAUGUGGGGUGGUCUCCUCCCUUAAGAGCACUGACAGAUAUUUCACAGACGAGGAAACUGAAGCUUAGAGAGGUCGAGCCACUUGCCCAUGGCUGUAGAACUGGCAAAUGGGAGAGCCAGGACCCACAUUCAGGCCUGUCUGGGCUGGGCUGUGUGUCAGCUUUGUUGGGUUCCAGAGUGGUCAGGGUGAAGGAGCCCUUGGAUUUGGUAAUUAGGAGUCACUCAUGGACCUGUGGCGAUGGGGCAAAGAUCGUGGGUUCUGAGGAAGUGGCUGUCCUCUGGGUUGAGGUUCUGUUGCGCUUCAGGGCACAGGUAGCAGUGAUCAUGAAGGAAUACUGGGGAAGGUAGGACCCUUAUAGUAAGUUUAGGUGUGAGGGGAAGCACAGCAGGGCUGAAGGCGUUUUUUAUGGGCUGUGGAGCACCUGAGCAGGGGCAGCCUGGUGGAGCACUUGCUGGACCCAGGGCCCCUCCAGUCUCUCCUGCUUCCCCCUGCUUUGGCCCCAGGUUGCUUUCGCAUACACCCCCACCUCCUCAAAAGGGCUAUCCCCAGCAUAUCCUGCAGAGAGGGUGAUUAGGUGUGACUUCUGACCAAAGUUGCUCUGGUUGGGGGGGGGGGGUGGGGGGGAAAUGCACUUUCCUGGCGCUUGUUUUUCCAGCUGGAAACGGGAUUCGUAAUGGUAAUGGUUGAACUUAAUGAACGUGAUAGGAUGAGAAUAAUGCAGAAUGCAAUAUAAAUGCUAAUCAUGGCUUGGAUUGUUACUCAGCUCGAGGCUCAGGUUUUCUCCAGCCACCUCCCCAGUUAUGCAACCUUCACACUUUAUGUAUCAAAUCAGAGGUGUUUUCCUUCAGCACACUAGUGCCUGUGUGCAUGGCUAGACUUGGGUGGCUUUACCUACUUGGCCCUGAGCUGACAUUUUCUUCCCAAUAUUUAUCACUGGAAGUUUGUUUCUAAAUUGGAAUUGCCUGAACAUACAGGAGUAACUGAAAUAGCUCAGGGCCGUCUCGGUUAACACAUGCACAAAGUCUCAUAACUAUUCAUGAAAGGCAAAUAAUUUGCACACACAAUAAGGUCCUUAUUUUAUUUUUUUUUGAGACAGGGUCUCACUCUGUCACCCAGGUUGGAGUGCAGUGGUGCAAUCAUAGCUCACUGCAGCCUCAAACUCCCAGGCUCAAGCAAUCCUCAUACCUCAGCCUCCCAGGUAGCUGGGAUUACAGGUGUGCACACCUAAUUUUUUCAGUCAGGUCUCAAAGAGAAGGAGAUAAUGAUCAGUUGUGAAGAUUUUCAGGUAAAUCACCACCAAGGUAGGGCUGAAAGCAGAAAGAACUCUGCAGCAGGGAACUGUCCAGGGAGGCGGGUAUGAGUGGGAGUGAGGAUGAAUAAAGGGUUGGGAGGGGGAAGGUCAGGGUUGGUGAUGAGGCAUCCAUGGCGGAAACGGGAACUGCAGGGUGAGGUGAGGCUGGCGCAGGGCAGACAAAGUGAGUCUUCCGGUGCAGGCCAGCAUGCCUCCUCUUCUUGCUGUGGUUCUAGACCACAGGUUUCUCGCCUGGAAGAACCUUUCCUUUUUGGAAGAGAAAAUGCAGUUUUCCCCCUGAAGGGGCAUUUUUAGCACUCCAACGUCAGUGGGCUCCUGGAAGGGUUACUGUUUAUCUCUUACCCCGCAAGUGGACUCAGGGGUGAAGUUAGUUAGCUCCUACCUGUACCCCGUUAGCUGCAGCCCCGCUGUGUCCAGUGAAGUCAUUUCAGGCAGGGCAUGGGGGACUCCUUCUGAGGCAGAGGUGUAAGCGUUUCAGUCCCAGAUCGGCUACAGGGAGUGGCGCUCAGCUCCACUGUGGAGUCGCCAGGAUGCUGUCAUUUUGUCCAGAGGAAAAGUCCACCGUCUCACAUGUGAAGGCAGAGCCUGUUUUCUGUGUGCACAGUCUGAACACACUACUUCAUGGGUGCUUCUAAAGGACAUUUCCACAAAGAACACAAACGAUUCCCAAAAGCCUAGCUGAUGUCUAUGUGCCAUAAAUAGAAGCUCUGCCCCCAGAGAGAAGAGUUCUUUAGCAGCAAAACUCCAGUUUAUUAAGACAGGUGUGACAAGUAAAAUAAAAUUCAUUUUUUUUUUUUUUGCCUCUGCUAGGCCAGUAUAUUUCUGUACAAACAAGAUAAUGCAAGAUUUGACAGUUAAGGCUUUGAAGCACAGCACACAAAAUGAAACAAUUUAAAACCCCUUCAUAAAAAUGGGAAAAAUUCCCAGGCCAAAGGAAAAAAAAAGCCUUCACAGAAAGAGACUGACACUCGACUCCCCCCCUGCUGAGGUGUGGCCAGUGAGUCUGGGUGUGAGCUGCCACCUGACAGCCAGCUCUGAGGUAUCAAAGGAGCUCCGAGUGCAAGUUGAAGACUUCAGCAAGCCAGCCCCCGGCCCCCACACCCGUUCAUAGGCAGUCGGAAUGCAGAUCUCGGUGGCAGGUGGCUCUGCACAGUCCAGAGUGAUAAAACAAUCACAGAUGACUAAAUGCCAGGGACUGUGUGAAGUCAGUUACUGCCUGCAGUCUGGGUCACUCUGCCCUUCAUCAGACACUGGUGGCACCAUGACAGUGAGGAGAACGGAGCACAGUUCCUUCCGUGCCUCCUGCCGGCGCUGCUCAAGGUGUGCAUGGCUGAGUCCUGGACAAGCAUUUUGUAUUUUUGUAGUUCUCACUCCUUAGGCCCAAUUUCAAGUUAAGUCGUUAACUCAUUUAGAAUGAAUAUUAAGGAUACUGCCUCUAACAUAUCAAUAGCUGUGCUGAGCUGUCUAGGAAGAGAAAUUAGUCCAGAGAGGUCCUAAGUAUCAAAGCAGAUUUUGUAAAGAAAAAAGGCAACACGUCAGUGAGAAAAGCAGCACAAGAUCCGGGCUCGGGGACUCUUUUCCCUCUUUCCGAAACAUAACUGGUUUUGUAUGUGCUCUGAGUCCUAGUUUUUAUGUCUUGGCUGAGAACCACAGAAAGGACUAGAUAUUCAUACAUGCGAGAGCACACUGAGACUGCAUGUUUAUUUGGCAUAAUGCUAGAAAAAAGUCCGCAAAGAACUGCCAGAACCAGGCCUGUGACCAAGUUUACAGUCAUCUAGUUUCUCUCACAAUUUCAAAAUGUCAGAUCAGAAGAAUCUUUGGCGAUUAAUCCACUCUCCAUUUUAUGCGUGAGAAAACCAAGGCCCUGAUGGUGUCCCUGGUCCAAGUCCAGUGCCUUUCACAAUGAGGCUUUUGGCUCUUACCCUCUGAAGUGGGGCAGUGGCUCACUGUGAGGGGAGAGGGUCAGAUCUUGUUAGUUUGAUCUUAAGGCACUCACAAAAUGCCCUGAUUUUUCUUGUCUUUGUGAGAAGACAAAAAACAGUCUGGUAGUUUUUCACAUCAUCGUGGGAACCCAGAAAUAUAUGUACAGUACUCAGAAUUUAAGGGAAUGGAAGAAAGAAGAAAAUGAGAUUCUCUUUUGUGAGUACAGAAUUAGAAGAAAAAAAAAAAGAGGGGUGGGCAGUGCCAGAGGCGAACGGGCACAGGUCAUUACUGCGUGUGUGGCUGAGCUACAAGUCUCCUGGAAUGUAAACAAUGUUGGUUUAUUUCCAAUUUCAUCUAAUCUUCAUUGUCAUCUCUCAAUGAACAGUACUCAUAAAAUGAUGAGAAAGUUUCAGAACAUGUAUGUACAUGGUUCAGAAACAGCUCGGCUUUCAAAAAGCUGUCAGCUCAGGUAGCACGCCUUGGUCUUGAAUUCGGUGCUACGCUGACAGCUCUCCUUCUGAAUGCAAAGGCACCAGUCCAUGAUCAAGUCCACGCCGCAGACGAGGAGAGAGGAGUCUUCUCUCCAAAGUCAUCCAAAGAUAGCUGAGGAAAUAAUUCUAUCUCAUUUCUCGAUUCCAUUUCAGCACAGCAGCUGUUUUCCACACUGAGACACAGCUGGCGAGCAGUAUCUCUUCUGGGAACUGAGAUGCCAUUUCAGGAAGAAUUUCACUUUCUUUAGUUUGCAUGUAACUUACGAGAGUGUCUCUCAGGCUGAAAAACCAAAGAAGAGAGCAUUUAAAACAGUCUCCUCAGCAUGGUGGCUCACGUGUGUAAGCCCAGCACUGUGUGGCUCACGUGUGUAAGCCCAGCACUGUGGGAGGCUGAGGUGGGUGGGUCAGUGGAGGUCAGGAGUUCAAGACCAGCCUGGGCAACAUGGCGAAACCCUGUCUCUAGCAAAAAUACAAAAAUUAGCUGGGCACGUGGUGGUGUAUGCCUAUAGUCCGAAGCUACUCAGGAGGCUGAGGUGGGAGGACCACUUGAGUCCAGGAGGUGGAGGCUACAGCGAGCUGAGAUUGCACAACUGCACUCCAGCCUGGGCCACAGUGAGAUCCUGUCUCAAAAAAAAAGGCUCCCAUAUAACAUAAGGGGACCAAUCAGUCCCCUCAUGUUACUUUUUCCCGUUGUCAUCAGCAGAACCAAAAUGCUCGUUAAGACUUAAAAUCCUAGGCCAGGCGCAGUGGCUCACGCCUAUAAUCCUAGCACUUUGGGAGGCUGAGGCAGGUGGAUCACUUGAAGUCAGGAGUUCGAGACCAGCCUAGCCAACAUGGAGAAACCCUGUCUCUAGUAAAAAUACAAAAAUUAGCCAGGCAUGGCGGUGGGUGCCUGUAAUCCCAGCUACUCGGGAGGCUGAGGCAGGAAAAUCACUUGAACCCAGGAGGUGGAGCUUGCAGUGAGCCGAGAUUGCACCACUGCACUCCAGCCUGGGCGACAGAGCGAGAAAAAAAAAAAACCCAGAAAUCCUGAGGAGCAGUUUAAGGUCAAUGACCUGAGCUCCUGAACUGGGACUAGCAUCCUGGGUUCAAGGCUCUGGUGCCUGACUGCUGCUUCCCACAUGCAGUACACAAACACGACAGAAGCCCACGGAGCAAGCCCUGUGCUGGCCCCUUCACAUGACUUUAGGCCCUCUAGCAAGGUGAUGUUUAUUUACAGGGUUGCAUAAACAAGGCCUCACCAUUCAAAAAACCUUGUAUUCUAUUACAUGUUUCACAUUAACAAAGACUGGAAAUUCUCUAGGAAAGGGAUCUUUUUUAUCUACAUGAAAAGCACAGGCUAGUAAAGACUUGUUGAAAAAGUUGAAAGAACAUAAAUGUAUAUGGUAUAUGCCACAUAGCAUAAUGGAGGAAGAUAGCAAAUAGGAAACAUAUUGGUGAGGAAGACUGGAGUUUGAUGAUCUAGUCAGGAAAACAUCAAGUUAAAUCCUUACUUUACACCUAAACAUAAACUGGUGAAUAAAACAAGUAUGUGAAAGCACAAGAAGAGAGAGGACAGGCCGGGCGCAGUGGCUCACGCCUGUAAUCCUAGCACUUUGGGAGGCCGAGACGGGCAGAUCACUUGAGGUCAGGAGAUCGAGACCAGCCUGGUCAACAUGGUGAAACCCGUCUCUACUAAAAGUACAAAAAAAUUAGCCGGGCAGGUGCAUGCCUGUAGUCCCAGCUACUCGGGAGGCUGAGGCAGGAGAAUCGCUUGAACCCAGGAGGCAGAGGUUGCAGUGAGCUAAGAUGACACCAUUGCACUCUAGCCUGGAUGACACAGCAAGACUCCAUCUCAAAAAAAAAAAAAAAAAAAAAAAAAAAAGGCUAGUUUAUAAUCCUGGGAUAAGGAAGAUCCUAGUAAGUGUUUUUGUAUAGAGACCCUUUAUAGGAAAAUUCUGUCAGAUUUGACUUCAUAAAAUUAAAGGCUGAAAUAGAGCACUGUGGCACACGGCAGAGAAGAUGAACCCCUGUUCUAUGCAAAGAGCUCUCACAACCAUUACAGAGACAAAGCGCAAAAGAAAAAGAUACGAAGAGGUAAUUUAGGCUGGGUGUGGUGGCCAAAGCUUGUGAAUCACUUGAGGUCAGGAGCUCGAGACCAGCCUGGCCACGUGGAGAAACCCCGUCUCUGUACUAAAAUAGAAAAAAUUAGCUGGGCGUGAUGGUUGGCACCUGUAAUCCCAGCUACUAGGGAGGCUAAGGCAGGAGAAUCGAUUGAACCCAGAAGGCAGCGGUUGCACUAAGCCAAGAUUGCGCCACUGCACUCCAGCUUGGGUGGGAGUGAGACACGGUCUCAAAAAAUAAAACAUAAAGGCAAUUCAGAGGAUGAUAUACAAAUGGGUGAUAAAUAUAAAAAACAUGUUCAGCCUCACGGUAAAUGGGGAAAUACAACUGAAAAUGAGAUACCAUUUUGGCCUUUAGAUUGGCAACUAUGUAAAAGAUGGAUAAUAUCCAAUGUUGAGUAUUCUCAUACACUCUUUAUACAUUGGUAUAGCUUUUUCUAUUCUUUUUUUUGUUUGUUUUUGAGAUGAAGUCUCCCUCUGUUGCCCAGGCUGGAGUGCAGUGGUGCGAUCUCAGCUCACUGCAAUCUCCACCUCCCAGGUUAAAGCAAUUCUCCUGCCUCAGCCUCCUGAGUAGGUGGGACUGCAGGUGUGUACCACCAUGCCUGGCUAAUUUUUGUAUUUUUAGUAGAAACAGAGUUUCACCAGUUGGCCAGGCUGGUCUUGAACUCCUGACCUCAGGUGAUCCACCCACCUCGGCCUCCCAAAGUGCUGGGAUUACAGGGUAAGCCUCCACACCCGGCCUAGGAUAGCUUUUUCUAUCAAAUUUAAAAUGUACCUCUCUUUGACAUAGUCUACUUGUUAUAAAAUUAGAAUAUAUGACUUUUAGGCUGGGUGUAGUGGCUCACGCCUUUUCAUUCUAGCACUUUGAGAGGCCAAAGCGGGCAGAUCAUUUCAGGCCAGGAGUUCGAGACCAGCCUGGCCAACACAGUGAAACUCUGUCUCUACUAAAAAUACAAAAAUUAGCCAGGCAUGGUGGUACACGCCUGUAGUCCCAGCUAUUUGGGAAGCUGAGGCAUGAGACUCGCUUGAACCUGGGAGGCAGAGGUUGCAGUGAGCCAAGGUUGCAGUGAGUUGAGAUUACUCCACUGCACUCCAGCCUGGGUAACAGGGCAAGACUCUUGUCUGAAAAACACUUGUGUAAUUGCUUAAAGAAAACCCAGUAGAGAUUAAAACCAAAAAGCCAGUCCUCAGGUGCCCUGGUAAUGACAAAAAGCAGGAAAUGGGAUUCUGUGGUAAGAAAAGAACUAUUUUUGUGUCUAUAGAAGAUCACAGGAGAGACAGCACAACAUUGUGUCUGCCCCGCCCCAUAGGUGUGCAAAUCCAUACCUCCACUGAGGGCGGAAGCGCUCCUCGGUUUGGGUUUGGGGGUUCUUUAGUUUCAAGAUUAUCAUUUCGUGCAGCUCUAGCAGGAAGGCGUCUAGGCCAGUCUGAUUUAGGAAUGUGCUGAGGAGCUUAGCAUUUUCCGGGCUCAGAUCCGCUUUGUACCUUGAACUGAUUUCCCCAAAUGGCUCCUAAAACGACGGAAGAGCAAAUGAAGCAUUAAAGCCUGCAGGGAGAAGGGAGCGCAGUCCCUCUGUCCAGCAGAGAGGAAGAGACCAGACUUACUUUGUGCAGCCGCAGCAGCUGUUCAGACUUAUGAGCAGACAGGAACUGCCAGAGGGCAAUGGUGUGUUUUAACUGGCAUCUGUUUAAGGCCUGCAGAAGGAAUAGAAUUCCUGAGUGGGGGCUGAGGUCUCACACCCCCACUCAUGUCGUGCACCAGGGAGCCUGAGUGCUCUCCACACAGGCAUUCUUCUCUUCGUUCUGCCCUGUACUAAUGUGAUCUCCCUCCUUGUGAAGGCCAUCUCUGUCCUAUCUACCAGUUCCCUCCUGCGGCACCUCACAGCCCGCUCACAUCACGCUGUUUGCAGGGGCCUCAUGUACUCAGUCACAUUUGGGCUCUAUCUAGACUGCUGGCAUUUCUAGCGCGUGUCUGUCUCUACUGUCCCUGGUGUGUCCUGUUUAUGCUGGACUGACUGGGUGAGCAGUUGUUCUUGUCUCCCCAUCCUUUUCAGGAGCGCCUAGAGUGGCACUCCCUGAAUGCUCCUAUCCCUCGCGGGAAGCAGGAGACCAGGGUGAGGGGCUGUGCUGAUUUCCUUUUCGGUGUGAGACCCACCUUUAACACGUGAAUCGUCUGAUCACCCAUUUGCAGGAUGUCUUGAGUAUACACAUUCAGCUGCAUGUUUGGAUCCCCACCAGCUGUGCUCAGAAACCCCAGAGUGACUUCUACGACAGACAGCACUUCACAGGCAUCGCUGUAGGACUGCAGCUGUCCACUGAUGGCACUAAUGACCGAGCUGGGGAGGGAGUCCUGGGAAAUGAAAAGCAGGAGAGGGAUGUCUGUGGGCUGGGUUUCUGGCAUCUCACCACCUGGUAAGAGAGCCGAGCCCCUUCACUGCCCAAGCCACAUGCGGGGGGCCAACUCUCUAACAGCUGACACUUGGGCGCACGGUGUGCAGGCAGUUCCUGGAGGCCAUGGAGACACACAGGUCUACCUAUCAGUACCCGCAUGCGGAGAGCAGGAACAAAUCGGUUCCAUGGACUUCCCGCUUCAGCAGGCAUGGCCAUGCAUCAACAUCAUUCCUAAGAAUCAAACCCACAAGAUGUCAAUCUGCUUUUACUCUACAAGAAAACUUGCUGAUUUGCUGUCUUGCUUGCUCUCUGUAAGGGAGGCCGCAGAAACUGUGGGCUCACAGCAAACACCCGGGGCAAGGCUGGAGUAGGCCUAACACGGAGGGAAACACACUGAGAAGGCAGAAAGCCCCGUGCACAGGAUCAGGUUUAUCGGGAUCACCUGUGCCAUUUUGUUCUUGAUGUCCAUAAAGAGAUGUUCAUAGUUCCAGUCGUGUCUGUACACCAGAGUGGGUAUUCCCUAAAUUGGGAAAGAAAAAAGUUUUUUAAAAUUAAAUCCAUCGUGGACAUUUCCAGCAGAUGACAAACAGAAUCUGCAGCCGGAAAACUGCAGCGUAGUGCCGCGCUGCCCUGUGUAUCCCUUGGCUAAGAGCGCCCCUCUCCGUCAUUAACCCACCAUCUAUGGAAAUAGUAACACAACCGGGAAUCCAGCGGAGUCCUCACAGCCAAUUACAUGACAAGAUAUUGUCACAUCAUCGUGGCCUGCUUCGCCACAGGAGGCGCUAGGGCAACAGGUAUUUGUGCAUAUCCCAUUCAUUUAUUCAUUCAGCCACUAAAGGCACAGACCAUGCACAGGCAGUCACUCUGCCAGAGGAAAUGGCUGUGAGAAUGAAUUAAAAACAGCCUUUGGGAGGCAGAGACGGGCAGAUCACGAAGUCAAGAGAUCGAGACCAUCCUGGCUAACAUGGUGAAACCCCGUCUCUACUAAAAAUACAAAAAAAUUAGCCGGGCAUGGUGGCGGGCGCCUGUAGUCCCAGCUACUCGGGAGGCUGCGGCAGGAGAAUGGCAUGAGUGAACCCGGGAGGUGGAGCUUGCAGCAAGCUGAGAUUGCGCCACUGCAAUCCAGCCUGGGUGACAGAGCGAGACUCCGUCUCAAAAAAAAAAAAAAAAAAAAAAAAUCCAUGGGCUCUCACAGUUCCUGGCCCAGUUGCGGGUGGUACCGUACAUAAGUACAGUAGAUAUGACUGCAGCUGGAAGGAACAAGUGCGUCCAGUCAAAGAACAGAGAUGGGAAAGUGCCUGCUGUGUGGCUUCAGUGCAUGAGGUCACGGGAUGCAGUUCAGGGAAAUGGGCUAAGUGGCUGGAGGCAGGGCUGGAAGGUUGGGCUGGGCCGAGCUACAGGGCCUCCCAUACCAGACAACAGAGUGUCGGCUUUAUCCCAUAUGCCAUGAGAGGCCAGGCAGGUCCAUCCGGCACAGGAUGAAGAGAGCCAGAUGUGGGUUUUAGGCCGUGGACUGAAGAACCUGGAGGUGGGCACCAGUUAGGAGUGGCUAGCAGUCCAACGUACAGGAUGCUUUUAACUACAGGGUGGGCUUUGGCAGUCAGGUGAGGACACACAGAAGGCACAGCUAAUGGCAUCUGCUGGCAGGUUACCCAUGGAGGCUGAAGGAAGAGGGGCUGUGGGGGUGGUGGUGCCAUUAACUGGUAGAAUCAAGACCUCAACAAUCAGCUGGGUGCAGUGGCUCACGCCUAUAAUCCCAGCACUUUGGGAGGCCUAGGCGGGUGGAUCCCUUGAUCCCAAGAGUUCGAGACCAGCCGGGCAACGUGGUGAAGCCCCAUCUCUACCAAAAAAUACACAAAUUAGCUGGGCAUGGUGGUGCACACUUGUGAUCUCAGCUAUUUGGGAAGCUGAUGUGAGAGGAUCGCUUGAGCCCAGAGGUGGAGGCUUGGCACCACUGCCCUGCAGCCUCGGUGACAGAGUGAGACCCUGUUUCAAAAAAAGACCUCAACAGUUCCUUGGGGGACUGAGGUGCAGAUGGCCCUGCAGGAGAGGGCUCAGGAGAGCCCUGCGGCCCGGAGAUACAGGUGGCGUGGUGGCCUCGGGAGCUGCAGGUGUGAGGGAGGAGAUACAGACCAGACUGCAGGGUGAGGUGCUGCUUCCCUCUCUCGAGAAACACACCAAGGGCUGCUUGUUCACAACAGACACACCAAAUGAGCAGCAGUGGCAGGAGUCAGCCCUACCUUGAGGCUCAGCCGGGGCUUGCCCUGGAGGAAGCGGCUGACGAUCUGCCGCUGAAUCUUCUCCAGAUCGAACUCCUGCACGGUCUCUCUGCCCUCCUCCACCUGGUACUGGCAGUUGGAGAGAAUCAGUGGAGUCAGGUCCCGCUCCACUUCAUAACUGAUGACAUGCAGUUCAGUGACCUCGGCGGCAUCCACGGAAUAGCUGAGGGGCAGAAAGACAGCGCUCAGCGUCCAGGCCAGGCAUGCGGGCCUAGGGCUCUAUGUUGCAGGGAGCAGGCUCCCAUUUCUCACAGUUGGAGCAGUGGAAAACCCUACCCAAGUAUGGGGCGGGUCACUGGUGGGGGCGGCUGAAGGAGUGAGUGUCUGUUAGGGAAGGGGCUGAAGCUUGCUUGUGUCUGCCCCACUGGGCUUAGGGACUCUGGGCUGAGCAGGCACCACUUCCUGGUGGCUCGUGCACAAACCUGUUGUUUUCCUUGGAGAGUUUUUCCACGGCGUAGACAAUUUCAUUGUGUAGGCGAAUCAAGUAGCUGACGAGAGCGGUAGCACAGAGGCCCAGGCCCCGUCGGCGUGGCAAGAGGAUCUCAAACUCAGUGUCCAGAUCCAAGUCAGUGCUGCAGUAGUCUUUGGGUAGGUUGAGGGGACA